Long non-coding RNA from Frieseomelitta varia, 517 nucleotides. RefSeq lists it as uncharacterized. The transcript has 3 exons. The record is from RefSeq and is a predicted model, not a curated record. Lineage: Eukaryota; Metazoa; Arthropoda; Insecta; Hymenoptera; Apidae.
GUAGCCAAUAGUAGGAAUAGGAAAGAACUAAAAAAACAACCAUUUUUAUUGAAGGACAGCCAUUUUACUUUCGGACAUUAUUUUUACCGGGAAAAACGAAAUGAUUGUAAGCGUGUUACUGAAGAACCACUUUACUAUUUUCAUGUCGCAUGUGACAUUAUCGACUCAGCGUUAAGAAAGACUACAGCGCCAGUAAAACGAUAAAAAACAUAAUUACACAUCGAUAUUCGAUAUUCGAUAUAUCAUCGAUAUAAUUUAUCGAUUUAACGUGCAUUUUAAGCGGUGAGAACAGCAAAAAGAAGUGUGUCCAAAAAUCAUCAGGAAGGAAAGAAUAUAGAAAUCAUGAAAAUUGGUGAGUGAAAAGCAUUAAGCACAGUAUGGUCAUCGACGAAGGACAUGACGGAGUUCAUAGCUUUCCUACAAUAUGAAGGGUUAGGUAAGUAAUGGAAUAAAACUAUAUAUGUCUGUUUUUAUACGUUAACCUGAAUAAACGAUUGAUUCAAAUGAUCAUUUUCAA